AUGGGGCUACCGCUGCCGUCGGGCGGGGAGAUGGCGGCGCAGCUGCUCAUGUACCUGCUUGUGGAGGACUAUCUCAGCUACUGGGUCCACCGGCUGAUGCACACCAAGUGGUGCUACGACAACAUCCACCACGUCCACCAUGAGAUCACUGCACCCAACGGCUUCGCCGCGCCAUACACGCACUGGACCGAGCUGCUCAUCAUCGUCGUCCCACCGUCGUCGGCCCGGUCAUCGCGCCGUGCCACAUGA
RNAcentral lists this ribosomal RNA (249 nucleotides) under Triticum aestivum (bread wheat). RNAcentral describes it as "partial small subunit ribosomal RNA". Lineage: Eukaryota; Viridiplantae; Streptophyta; Magnoliopsida; Poales; Poaceae. The record is from RNAcentral.